RNAcentral lists this ribosomal RNA (253 nucleotides) under uncultured bacterium. RNAcentral describes it as "partial 16S ribosomal RNA". It matches the Rfam family "Bacterial small subunit ribosomal RNA", at positions 524 to 776 of the family's 1533-position model. The record is from RNAcentral.
UACGUAGGGGGCUAGCGUUGUCCGAAAUCAUUGGGCGUAAAGCGCGUGUAGGCGGUCCGGUAAGUCCGCUGUGAAAGUCGGGGGCUCAACCCUCGAAUGCCGGUGGAUACUGUCGGGCUAGAGUGCGGAAGAGGCGAGUGGAAUUCCUGGUGUAGCGGUGAAAUGCGCAGAUAUCAGGAGGAACACCGGUGGCGAAGGCGGGUCUCUGGGCCGUAACUGACGCUGAGGAGCGAAAGCAUGGGGAGCAAACAGG